Molecule: ribosomal RNA, 484 nt
Filed under: uncultured bacterium
Lineage: Bacteria
Description: partial 16S ribosomal RNA
Rfam family: Bacterial small subunit ribosomal RNA
Source: RNAcentral
AUUGAACGCUGGCGGCAGGCCUAACACAUGCAAGUCGAGCGGAUGAAGGGAGCUUGCUCCUGGAUUCAGCGGCGGACGGGUGAGUAAUGCCUAGGAAUCUGCCUGGUAGUGGGGGAUAACGUCCGGAAACGGGCGCUAAUACCGCAUACGUCCUGAGGGAGAAAGUGGGGGAUCUUCGGACCUCACGCUAUCAGAUGAUCCUAGGUCGGAUUAGCUAGUUGGUGGGGUAAAGGCCUACCAAGGCGACGAUCCGUAACUGGUCUGAGAGGAUGAUCAGUCACACUGGAACUGAGACACGGUCCAGACUCCUACGGGAGGCAGCAGUGGGGAAUAUUGGACAAUGGGCGAAAGCCUGAUCCAGCCAUGCCGCGUGUGUGAAGAAGGUCUUCGGAUUGUAAAGCACUUUAAGUUGGGAGGAAGGGCAAUAAGUUAAUACCUUGCUGUUUUGACGUUACCAACAGAAUAAGCACUGGCUAACUUCGUG